Populus euphratica (Euphrates poplar) is the source of this 351-nucleotide long non-coding RNA. RefSeq lists it as uncharacterized. Lineage: Eukaryota; Viridiplantae; Streptophyta; Magnoliopsida; Malpighiales; Salicaceae. The transcript has 2 exons. The record is from RefSeq and is a predicted model, not a curated record.
AACCGAUUAAUUUUCGAUCGAGCCCCAAUUUCAUCCCAGGUAGGUGGGUGCUUGUAGGAUAAUCGAAGCUUUGCCAUACACUGUUUCUGCUUCUUUUCCUGACCAAUAUCAAAUUCCCAGAAUCCAAGAGUUGAGCUGCACAGAUAUCAUUUUCUUCCACCGAAACAUUUGUAGACCACACUGGAAGCUUUUGGUCAUCUUUUCCAUAGAGAACGAGGUUUCCAUAUUGAUUUAUAAAGAGAACUCCAGAGGAACCAAUGAUUGGAUCGUUCCUGUUUGCAACCCACACCACAGUUUGUUCUGGUAUUUUAUGGUACCAAAUUCCAAGAUAUCUAUUGCUAGAACUACCUG